Molecule: long non-coding RNA, 1849 nt
Organism: Homo sapiens (human)
Lineage: Eukaryota; Metazoa; Chordata; Mammalia; Primates; Hominidae
Gene: LNCRNA-IUR
Product: lncRNA imatinib upregulated
Source: Ensembl
UUUCUCCUCCCUGCCUAACUGGUGAGGUGGGACUUCAAUGCCUUUUAGGUUUACAGUCUUUUCCUCCCCACGGCUUCUCUUUCCUCCCCGUCUCAGGCACUGGGCAUUUCCAGUCGAUCCAGCAGGUCUGGCUUCUCUCACAUAUGCAGUAAGGGUUAGGGGAGAAGGUCCCAGCUCCUCUUGUCUCUAGCAGAGUGUAAACUGGCUCUGCUGAGGAGGUGGCUGUGCUUUUAUUCCUUCUCCUGAGAACUGUUUAUAUAUUAAGGAGCUUCACAGCCUCCAACAUAAGGAAAGCAGGUAGGAACUGAUCAUAUAACGCUUUGUAAAUGUUUUAGACUUUGGCUUUAAUGGGAAAGAAAUGGGGAGCCAUUCGUGGGUUUUUGAGCAGCAGGUGGACAUUGCUUUUCAUAAUGACCACGCCAGCUGCUGUUUGGAGAAUAGACUGUAGGGGUCACUGCGCAAAUUGGAGGCCGCGAUCCAGGUGAGAACCAGGUGAAACAGAGCUCGGGCCAUGGAGUGGCGCUGGAGGCCUCAAACUUCUUCAUGGGAAAAGAUGGCUUCUCUUUUUUAAUUGAAUGAACUAGAAGAAGUUCAUUGUUAUUCAUCAACUUCAAAGAGACUAUAUGAGGCCCCUUGGCCAGGACUACAGAGCAGUAUUUUUUAAUCAGAAAUUAUAGCCAAAAAGAAGAGACCAGAACACAUGGAAUUGAAAGAAACUACUUUAAAUUUCAUAUGGAACCAAAAAAAGCCCAUAUAGCCAAGAUGAUCCUAAGCAAAAAGAGCAAAGCUGGAGGCAUCAUGCUACCUGGCUUCAAACUAUACUACAAGGCUACAGUAACAAAAACAGCAUGGCACUGGUACUAAAACAGAUAUAUAGACCAAUGGAACAGAACAGAGGCCUCAGAAAUAACGCCACACAUCUACAACCAUCUGAUCUUUGACAAACCUGACAAAAACAAGCAAUGAGGAAAGGAUUCCCUAUUUAAUAAAUGGCGUUGGGAAAACUGGCUAGCCAUAUGCAGAAAACUGAAACUGGACCCCUUCCUGAUACCUUAAACAAAAAUUAAUUCAAGGUAGAUUAAGGACUUAAACAUAAGACCUAAAACCAUAAAAACCCUAGAAGAAAAGCUAGGCAAUACCAUUCAGGACACAGGCAUGGGCAAAGACUUCAUGACUAAAACACCAAAAGCAAUGGCAACAAAAGCCAAAAUAGACAAAUGGGAUCUAAUUAAACUAAAGAGCUUCUGCACAGCAAAAGAAACUAUCAUCAGAGUGAACAGGCAAUCUACAGAAUGGGAGAAAAUUUUUGCAAUCUAUCCAUCUGACAAAGGGCUAAUAUCCAGAAUCUACAAGGAACUUAAACAAAUGUACAAGAAAAAAACAACCUCAACAAAAAGUGGGCAAAGGAUAUGAACAGACACUUCUCAAAAGAAGACAUUUAUGUGGUCAACAAACAUAUGAAAAAAAAGCUCAUCAUCACUGGUCAUUAUAGAAAUGCAAAUCAAAAACACAUGAUUAAAUCAUGAUCAUUAAAAAGUCAGGAAACAACAGAUGCUGGAAAGGAUGUGGAGAAAAUAGGAAUGCUUUUACACUGUUGGUGGGAGUGUAAAUUAGUUCAUCUAUUGUGGAAGACCGUGUGGCGAUUCCUCAAGGAUCUAGAACCAGAAAUACCAUUUGACCCAGCAAUCCCAUUAGUGGGUAUAUACUCAAAGGAUUAUAAAUCAUUCUACUCUAAAGACAUAUGCACAUGUAUGUUUACUGCAGCACUAUUCACAAUAGCAAAGACUUGGAACCAACCCAAAUGCCUAUCAAUGAUAGACUGGAUAAAGAAAAUGUGGCACAUAUACAC